RNAcentral lists this small RNA (71 nucleotides) under Pseudomonas extremaustralis. RNAcentral's name for it is "Pseudomonas sRNA P10". It matches the Rfam family "Pseudomonas sRNA P10". The record is from RNAcentral. Lineage: Bacteria; Pseudomonadati; Pseudomonadota; Gammaproteobacteria; Pseudomonadales; Pseudomonadaceae.
GUUUCAGACCCCACCACCUGCCCCGUCCCCGGACACGGCACCAACCCCAUCGCCAGCGGCUCGCCCGACGU